UGGGCCUGGUUCUGCUGUGGAAAACCUUCCCAUGGAAUCCUCACCGAGUGAAUUUGUGUUUUUUGAAUCCUCACCAAAAAACAGAGCUGUGCUGUCUGCAUACAAAGAUGGGAACUUUUCUAUUUUCUGUCUCAAAUAUGAGUUAUAUAUUACAGUUGGAAUAUGACAUUUCAAAUCUCAGUGCUCUGCAUGAGUUCCAGAAGCAGCUUGUGCCAGUGGGAAGGAGAAGUUAGCAUCUGAAUGAAUCUCAGCCUCCUGUUUUGUCCUGAAUGCUUGCUGUUCCCUUUUCAGAUCUGGAAAGUUGCAGAAUGACAUAUCUCUGGAUUUUUUAUGUUGUGAUUCUUUUCUCCUAGGAUCUAUGCCCUGCUGGUUCUGGGAAACUUGUGACCUCUGCAUUUUUAAUUAGAACUCGUAACUUUUUCCAUAGCAACAUAUUUUGAUGCUGCAAAUACAGAAUCUGUCAAAUCAAACAGCUCCUGGUCAGAAGAAAUCCAAAUAUAUAGAAAUGCUGAGCACUAAUAAGAUGUAAGACAUGGCACAGUUAAGAAAAAAAUUAAAAGAGGCAAUAAAAGAAGGAUGG
Molecule: long non-coding RNA, 580 nt
Filed under: Junco hyemalis (dark-eyed junco)
Lineage: Eukaryota; Metazoa; Chordata; Aves; Passeriformes; Passerellidae
Description: lncRNA (ENSJHYG00000016916.1)
Source: RNAcentral